AGCAGUCGCCGCGGUAAUACGAAGGGGGCUAGCGUUGUUCGGAUUUACUGGGCGUAAAGCGCACGUAGGCGGACUUUUAAGUCAGGGGUGAAAUCCCGGGGCUCAACCCCGGAACUGCCUUUGAUACUGGAAGUCUUGAGUAUGGUAGAGGUGAGUGGAAUUCCGAGUGUAGAGGUGAAAUUCGUAGAUAUUCGGAGGAACACCAGUGGCGAAGGCGGCUCACUGGACCAUUACUGACGCUGAGGUGCGAAAGCGUGGGGAGCAAACAGGAUUAGAUACCCGCGUAGUCCCUGUCUCUUAUAC
RNAcentral lists this ribosomal RNA (303 nucleotides) under uncultured bacterium. Its description in RNAcentral is "partial 16S ribosomal RNA". It matches the Rfam family "Bacterial small subunit ribosomal RNA", at positions 507 to 807 of the family's 1533-position model. The record is from RNAcentral.